RNAcentral lists this ribosomal RNA (497 nucleotides) under uncultured bacterium. RNAcentral's name for it is "partial 16S ribosomal RNA". It matches the Rfam family "Bacterial small subunit ribosomal RNA", at positions 28 to 507 of the family's 1533-position model. The record is from RNAcentral.
GAUGAACGCUGGCGGCGUGCCUAAUACAUGCAAGUCGAGCGAACAGACGAGGAGCUUGCUCCUCUGACGUUAGCGGCGGACGGGUGAGUAACACGUGGAUAACCUACCUAUAAGACUGGGAUAACUUCGGGAAACCGGAGCUAAUACCGGAUAAUAUAUUGAACCGCAUGGUUCAAUAGUGAAAGACGGUUUUGCUGUCACUUAUAGAUGGAUCCGCGCCGCAUUAGCUAGUUGGUAAGGUAACGGCUUACCAAGGCAACGAUGCGUAGCCGACCUGAGAGAGUGAUCGGCCACACUGGAACUGAGACACGGUCCAGACUCCUACGGGAGGCAGCAGUAGGGAAUCUUCCGCAAUGGGCGAAAGCUUGACGGAGCAACGCCGCGUGAGUGAUGAAGGUCUUCGGAUCGUAAAACUCUGUUAUUAGGGAAGAACAAAUGUGUAGGUAACUAUGCACGUCUUGACGGUACCUAAUCAGAAAGCCACGGCUAACUACGUG